AAUGAGGUGGAUGAUACUGAUUACAUUAAAGGUCCCAAUUCUUCACCUCCCCUUGAAUCCAUGUCCUUUACCAUGUAAAUCUGAAAUUCCCUUUCACACUGAUGUGAAUCCAUCAUGAGGCUGGUUUGGCCAAUAAGAUGCUUAUUUGAGUAAGAUUUGCAAACUGACCUUGCUUUCUCUUGUGCUUCUACAAUUGCCAUGAGAACAUUUGUGGGCUGGCCUACUGUAUGAGAAGCAUGUGAAGAGCUGAGUAGCCCCAGGAACUCCAGCAAGAGCAAUCUUACACCAGCCAAAAGCCCAACACCAGACAUAUGAGUGAACCCAGCUGAGACAAAAACUAUUCAAUUAAGUCCAGCCUAAAUCACCAACAGACUAAAUAAAUGCUUAGUGUUUUAAGCUACUGGUUUGUGGGGGUGAUUUGGUAUGAGACAUUAUGGUGGCAACAGAUAGCCAUUAGAUUAUUUCAGUACAAUAUGAUUAUUUCAAAAGAUAUUUUGCCUAUCCUGGUCGUAAUCAAAGCUUCCCCUUUAUGUCACCAUCUCUCUAGUCCCUGAGUCUCCCACCCUCCUAUUUGUAGGAUUUACAUGCCCCUGGGCCAGCAGACAGAAUAGAUCAGACCCGAACAGAUUUUUCCUAUGGACCUUUCUUCCACAUGCUUGAGAAGAGAAGAUUCCAGGUAACUGGUGAUAUUCAACAUUUUGUAAUGAGACCAGUAAGCAGUGACUCAAUUUCCUUACAGCUGGAACUGGUGACUGAAGGUGUCCAAUGCAGAAACAGUUAAGGUUUUAUAGUCUAGCCCCUCAAUUUGAGAAAAUUAAUGCUGAAAGUAUGUAUCUGAAUCUUUCUCUUACACUAACCAGCAGCUUCCCAGAAAAAUGGUUGUGUUUUUGCAGGACAUGUUUCUGAUUGGUCUCAUGUCUGUGCUGGGGGCGCUCCGGGGGAAAAGGCAGAACCCAUCAGAGAAGUCCUUGAGAUACAAAUGGAGGGAUCUGCUUCUAGAGGCCAUUCCCAUAGCUCCUUCUUCCAUCUGCAAAGUCAGCAAAGUUGGAUCUCUCUGACCAUUCUUCAGUCAUCACAUCUCUUUCUCUGGCCACAGUCUGAGCAGUUCUCUGAUUGUAAGGGCCCAUGUGAUUAGAUUGGGACUACUCAGACAAUCCAAGUUAACUCUCCAUCUCAAGGACCUUAACCUAAUCACUCCUGCAAGACUUUUUUUUGCCAUGUAAGGUAACAUAGUCACAGAUUCCAAAAAUUAGGAUGUGGAUAUUUUGGAAAGUAAUUAUUCUGUCUACCACAGAAGAGUUUUUGAAAUAUUUUACAGUUUUCACUUUCAGGUGUGUUUUUCUCAUUUGCCUAAAUCUCAUGACAAUUUUCUAGUAUUUCAUCCAGUGAUCAUUUU
Molecule: long non-coding RNA, 1396 nt
Filed under: Callithrix jacchus (white-tufted-ear marmoset)
Lineage: Eukaryota; Metazoa; Chordata; Mammalia; Primates; Cebidae
Description: lncRNA (ENSCJAG00000087291.1)
Source: RNAcentral